Molecule: ribosomal RNA, 253 nt
Filed under: uncultured bacterium
Lineage: Bacteria
Description: partial 16S ribosomal RNA
Rfam family: Bacterial small subunit ribosomal RNA
Source: RNAcentral
UACGUAGGGGGCAAGCGUUGUCCGGAUUUAUUGGGCGUAAAGAGCGUGUAGGCGGCCAAGCAGGUCCGCUGUGAAAGCUCGAGGCUCAACCUCGAGACGUCGGUGGAAACCGUUUGGCUAGAGUCCGGAAGAGGAGAGUGGAAUUCCCGGUGUAGCGGUGAAAUGCGCAGAUAUCGGGAAGAACACCCGUGGCGAAGGCGGCUCUCUGGGACGGUACUGACGCUGAGACGCGAAAGCGUGGGGAGCGAACAGG